UGGAUAUGAUCUUGCUGGCUGUUUGUAUGAAUCGAGACUCAACAUUGCUUAUUUGCUUCUUAGGUUUGCCUUUUAAAAUAGGAACAUGCUUUGAAUAUGGACCAAUUGGGAUCCUUGUAUUUGAUAUUAUACUUGUUGUUCUUCAUUGAUUGGCUGCUGUUUUAGGGAUUUCCUCUUUUGACCUAGGCUAGUCCUAGUGGUCUCAGAGUACUUACCUUUGGUGAUUGUACUUUUCAGGUUUAAAGGAUAAUGAUUAAGGAGAUUUGCUCCACAUUAGGAUUGUGUUACUUUGACAAUAUGACUAAUGUAUUUGUUUUGUAGGUGUUGUUCUGUGAGCUUGUGCUAUGCCCUCAUUAUUUUGUAUUAAUGUUACUGGUUACUUGAUCAUAUAUUGUGCUGUUUUGUUGAAAGUAGAUGCUGAUUCUGUUUGACGUUUGCUACAGGUACCUUAGUUGCUCCAUUCCUUGACGAACUUUUGCUUUGGUUGUUUAAGAACUUGCAUUGGAGGUAGGUCUUCUUGAUUCAUGUAGUCUGGAGACCCGGCUGUGUACCGGGUCCGGGCAAAUUUCUGAAGUGCCUCCUUAGAGGGCCAUGUUGUGUAUGUUAUUUUUCAGCCAAGCAUGAAAGUCCUUCAAGUAAGGCAUGUGUGGAAGGUAGGGCAAGCAAACCUUGCCCCACUAUUCAGUGAGUCUUCUCCUUGCUCAUUACAUGGUUGUAGCAUUGAGAUGCAUUAAGCCAAGACUUGUGCAGUGCACAUUGAGUCAGAGUCAUCGAGUAUAGAAGGGUUCCCCUAUUCGGACCCAUGCUCAUUUGAGCUCUCCAUGGUUGGGAUAAGAGCUGUGAGGUCUGAUCCUCACUUCUCUUUCAUAUGCUUCACUUAGCUCGUAAUGCAAGGUUAGAGAAACACAGCCUGUAACAGGACGAUUGCUUAGGCAGUCAAACCGAUUGAUUGAGCCCCUUGUUUGGCUAUAGUGCGUGUUAUGUGGUAUCUGUUGACAUUGCUUGUUGAGAUACCUGUUCUCAUUUGAUGAUAUAUAUUGUUAUUGCUUGAUGUGCUGCUUCUUUCCUGGUUUAGGUUAGUUGCUUUGCAAGUGAUAGAAAACCGAUUGAGGUUUACGAUGCAUGACAAACAUUAGGCUCGGAGUCUCAGCUCCCUAUUGUUGUAUUCUUUCCCCGGUUUCUCGUUAGCAAUUCAGUGCCCUUUCAGGGGAACUACAUCGCCCUGAGUCCCGUUCCAGACGAGGUAUGUAGGCAGGUGGUCGUGCGAGACCCUCCGGGCAACCUUUUUUCUUAUUUUGCGUGCGUUAACUUGUGUGUCUGAUUGUUUUUUGGCUUCGGAGCUGACGUAAGCCCAGGUGGGGCUUGGUCGGAGGCCUCCACGUUUGCCCUUUGAGUGUGUGUUUGGUUCGAGACGACGUAAUUCCAUCCGUGGUUGUCGGGGCUCCAUGUUGCACCCUUGAUGAUUUGUGCUUGUGAAGCAUCAUCAACAACAAGUGCAAUCGAACUGGAUUACGUUCUCCCCAAAUUAAAGGGCAUGGACAGCCGUCGUGAACCGCCCAAAAGAGCGACUUCAAAUGGCCGCGUGCGUAGCCGAACUACAGUGGCUCUGUUUUGUUCCAGGGACAAAGAUAUGUAGGCAUAAGGUGCAUACCUUAUCGAGGCUCGUUCCUCUUAACCCCACCUCGGCGAUUCCCGGUGUGUGUGUGGAUGUUUAGCACCUUUUCUUAUUCUUAGGACGUGAGAUCCUAGGUACCUAGGACUGAGGGUGCUAAUACCACUUCCCCUUGGCUACCGACUCCCGACCUUUCUCUCUGUCGCCGAGACCAGUGUCUUUCCAGUUUCUCGAGCGUUUCUUUCCCUUUGGGUAAAUAACGGUUUAGGGCGGCUCUGUGUGUUUUAUUUUUAGGCUCGCCGGUUGAUUUUUUCGCAGGAUGCGUCAGAAUCUUGCUUUGAAUAUUAUUUUAGUACAACAAUUUUAGAAAGUUUUAAUGUGGUUUUUUAAUUCAAUUUAGUUAAUCAGGUUGUUUAAAAUAAAUAAUUAAGCUUAAUAAGAUUGAAUAUUUAUUUUAAACACAUAGCGGAAAAAAAGAGGUAGUUUAGUAUUGGAAGUGUGAUAUUCAGUAUUGGAAGUUCAAGAAGUUUACUUCUCGCUAUGGAGUUAUUCACUUUCAUUUGCACAUGAAGUCCUUAGGCUAUUGUUGGUGCAAGCAAAGCUAUAGCCGAGAGAAUAGUGCAGGCUAGGUGGGAGUGUUGCAUGCAAAGGUGUGCACGUGUGAGGCCAUGCGUGGGAAUCUUGCCGAAUAGGUGCAGGCUUGUGGACUUUCGUGAUGCAAGAUGGUGAUCUUGCAGACUGGUUCAGGCUAGGUGGUAGUGUGCAUGCAAAGGUGUGACACAUGUGAGGCAUGCGUGGGAAUCUUGCAGACUUGGUGGUGAUACUUUUGAUGGAUAGGCAUGCGUGGGAAUCUCUGAGACUAGUUCAGGCUAGGUGGAGAAUACAUUUGAUGGAUAGCAGUAGACGUGUCAAUUAUUACAUGCAUGCAGCUCCACCUAGCCUGCAAGAUUCUCAGCAAACUUUGCAUGCGUUGCUCCUACCCAAAUUUUUUGCAGCUUUACACGUGUCCAAGUUUUGCAUGCGUUGCUCUUGGGAGGCUUGGUCUGAAGACAUGCAUGCAAAGAUGUGUCGGAAUCUUGCAGUAUAAAUAUUCACACACAUUUCACAAAGGUAUUCACAAUUCUUCACAGCAUCUUAAAAAUCUUCAUAUAUCUUCACAAUUCUUCACAAAACCUUCACAUAACAUGCAUCUUCAUCACAAUACAAAAUUAAAGCUCACGUCAAUUGGUGAGACUUAUGAAUGUGAUAUGUCUGGCUUCCUUUUUAGAAAACCGAAUGCACUCGUUUUUGUCUAAAUAGAGGAGCUGACUUCUCUUAUCUGAAAAGGAAGAUUGAGUCCAAACUAAGACAACCUGUCCCAAAUUUUUUUCAACAACCUUUUUUCAGAAAAUAACUCUGUUCAAGUUUUAUAAGUCAUUGAUUCAAAUGACAUUGGGAGACACAAUACAUGUUUCGUAACCAUGAGUUAUUCUGGUUACGAUACUAUAGUGUUGUACAUUAUGUUGGAACAAUUUCACAGCUCAGAAUAUUCAGUCACAGGUUAUGAUCUGUGAUUGAUGACGAACAGAUGUUGAGCACCACGUGAAGACGAUGUGGUUGAUGAUGCAAAGACGUGGUUUGAUGACUUGGUGAACCGUGACUCUGAAGACGAAGACCAGUUCAAAUACCUAUAGUGCAACGCUACUCACCGCCUGCGCACUUCACAACCUCUAACUUGGGCGAGGAUGAGCCCUCAUCAGAUAUGUUUCUACAACCAUAUAUGAGGUUGAUGAGGAGUUAAAGAAGGGUGACCCAAUUUCGGACCAAGGAAAGUGUCUGUUAGCAAUAAAGAACUGCGCACUUGAAAACUGUGUUGACUACGAUGUUAUCAUCAAAUCCGGAAAGAUACGUUAUUGUAUGCAAAAAUCCGGAGUGGGGUAUAGGUUGAUGGCAUCGUACAAGAAGAAACAUAAUGCGUGGGUGCAUAUGGUCCAUUUCUCAAGCUCACACUUGCGUCAACACCAACAUGGCACAGGAUCAUCGCAAACUUAGCCAUGAUAUGAUCUGCCAUUCCAAUUACCUCUAGUUGAGGCUGACCCCGUCACUGAAGGUCAACUAUUAUCUCCCAUUGUGUUGGCUGUUUUCAAAUACACCGUCAUACAGAAAGGCUUGGUUAGCGAAAACCAGGCAAUUGACUGGUAUACGGUAAUUGGAGGAUCAUACAAACAACUUCCGCGCUACCUGGCUGCACUACGAUUGUAUUCACCUGGACGGUUUCUAAUAUGGGACUGCCGGCACAAUCCCCUGACGGAACUCGUCUAGAGGUAAUGGAAUAUUCCAUAGACUUUUUGGGCAUUCCGUCCCUGCAUCAUCGGUUUCAACAUCUGCAAACCUUGUUCAAGUCGAUGGAACUUGGCUGUUAUGGGAAUACAAAGGAUCGUUACUGAUGGCGGUCGCACAAGAUGGAAAUUCUAUAUUUUCCCAAUAGCCUUUGCAUUGGUUGAAGGAGAAACGGCUGCUGCUUGGAGUUCUUCCUUAAAAUCACCGAACGCACGUGACUCCACAAGCUGGCAUUGUGUGAUUUCUGACAGACACGCUUCUAUAGACAGUGCAUACAAUAAUCCAGCAAAUGAUUGGCAUUGACCCCCCGUCUACGCAUGUCUACUGAUCAGGCAUAUUGCUCAAAAUUUUGUGCGGGAGUUCAAAGAUAAUUUCUUGAAGCAACAUUGAUAAACGCGGGUAUGCAUAAACCAACCUGGAUUCCAAUAUUACCGUCGGGAAUAGUGUUGGAAAAUUCUGAUGCAUGAGAGGUGGAUCGAUAAUAUCGACAGAGCGAAGUGGACUAGAUCAUACGGCGAUGGGGUGAGGUGGGCGCCACAUGACAACAAAUCUUGUGGAAUCAAUGAAUUGCGUCUUUAAGGGCAUACGUAACCUCCCGGUAACCGCUUGAUGAGUGCGACCUAUUUUCGGAUGGCCAACUUGUUCGUAACAAGAGGAAGCGCUGCAUGAAGUGUUACAGACGAGUCAAGUUAUAUAGUGAUGCCUGCAUAAAGUUUAUGAGGCAGGAAUCUGCCAAAGCAGCAGCAGCCAUCGGGUUACGGAAUCUCGACGCCAUGGCACACUUUUAGUUUCAAGGAAACAAUUGACCACAACCAGGGGCUGCCCAGACAAGAGUAUAGGUCCUAAUACCAGACCGUUGGUGCGACUGUGGUCAAUUCAGGGCUAUUGAAUGCCUUGUUCCCAUGGUCAUUGCAGCAUGUUCACACAGCCACUUCGAUGCAUUGUCGCUAGUGUCUCCCAUCUACAAGUUGCAACAUUGCUCAAAUGUAUACGACAAUCCCUUUCCGGUGGUAGCAUUGGAGGCAUAUUGGCCAGAGUAUGACAGGGAAAUUGUUUGGCCACAACGAAUCGAUGCGGCGAAUAAAAGUGGUCGCCCAAAUAGCAGGUACAUUAGAACUGAAAUGGACGUUGCAGAAAAAUGCAGAGGAAGUGUAGCAUAUGUAGACAACUAGGGCAUAAUAAGACAAAUGUCCAUAUCGUGGAUCUAGUUCCACAACUUAGUUUUCAUAUUCAUAAAUCUGUGUACCAAUGCUAUUUAUCAUUAAAGUUUACUUUUUAUUCCAAUAGAAGAUGACACUUGAACAACAAACACAACAUCUAACAUUACAACACCAAUUACUAAAACAAAAACAAUACUGGAAAAAAAACAGUACUAAAAACUAGAACAAGUACUAGAAAUAACAAAUACAACAACAACAUGACAAACAACCAUUAAAAUCUAAGAAAUUACAACAGUUAACACUAUGUCGUCUGAUCCAUGCAUCAUUUGGAUGCAAUCAAUGUCGCUUUCAACUUCAACCCACAACGUAUCGUUUCUCCAGUUUCAAAUGAGAACCUUGUUCUAGCUCUGAAUCCUUUUGAUGACUUCACCAGGUUGGUAAUCUCCCUCUAACCAAGACAUCAAGGACCUUUUUAGUUGGUCCAACGAACGGAUGUUCCAAAAUUUCAUCUCCAUUGGGGUUUCAAAGGCGAGAAAUAAACAUGUCCAUCCCUUUUAAGAUUACUGGUUCAGGAUCCGGGCGCCUUGAUGAUGUUCGCUGCCAUGACGACGUCGUGGGAUGCCAUGAACUCAACUUGAUGAAAGUGAUAGGAAAUAGUGGUGAAGAAAAUGCAAGGAAUAACACUUAUUUAUAGGAAAUAUCUGGGUGUACACCAAUCUACUUAACCCUAAUUAGGUCGCACUUGAUUAAUUAGUCUUAUGGGAAUUAGGGUUUGAAUUAGGUCAUAACUACCAAACUCUAAUUAUAACCGAUCAAUAACCCUAAUUAUAAUUGAUAAAUUAACCUUAACAUGAUUAACCCUAAUUCUCCCAAAAAAAUUUAUAAUAAUAUUAAUUACUAUAUAAAUAUAUAUAUUAUAUAUAUAUAUAUAUAUAUAUAUAUAUAUAUAUACUAUAUAUAUAUAUAUUAUAUAUAUAUAUUAUAUAUAUAUAUAUAUCUUGUAAAUAAUUUUAUUUAUAUAUAUGUAUUAAUAUAAAUUAAUAUAAUUUAUAAUAAAUCUAAAUUAAUAAAUUAAAAAAAAAACAUAUUAAAAAAAAAUGAGUGUAGGCGCCACUCCUAGUGGCGACUUGCCCUACCAUUUAAGGGUAGGCGCCAACUAGGGUGGCGCCCAAGUACAAAAAUAGGGCAAAAAAUGCCCAUUUUUGUAUUUUUUUUGAAAAAAUGUGUAUUUUUGAAUUUUUUUUAAAAAAUCUGGAUAUUAAAAAAAAAUCCUUAUUUGCUUGCCAUUGGAGAAUCUUGAUGUUAUCUUAGGGAUAAGCUGGUUGGAGUUCCAUCAUGUUUAUAUCAAUUGUUAUAACAAGUUGGUGUGGUUCCUUACUCCUGGUGAUGAGGAAUAAGUUGGUUUCUUGUCUAGUUAAGAGUUGAAGGAGCUUUUGGAAGAGGAAGCUCAGGUGUUUGCAUUGUUCACGAUGUUAUCUGCUAAAAGUCAGACAGUGAUUGAUGAAUUGCGGGUAGUGCAUGAUUUUUGAGGGGUGUUUCUAGAUGACAUUUCAAAUGUACUACAAGAGAGAGAGAGGUGGAGUUUUCUAUUAAUCUUGUCCUUGGUACCAAACUUGUUUCUAUGGAACUAUACAGGAUGUUGCAUCGGAGUUAGAAGAGUUGAAGAAACAAUUAGAAAAUUUGCUAGAGAAGAGAUUUGUGAGACCAAGUGUGUCGCCUUGGGGAUCUCCAUAGUUGUUGGUAAAGAAGAAAGACGGUAGCAUGAGGUUAUGUGUGGAUUACCAACAAUUGAAUAAAGUGAUGAUUAAGAACAAGUAUCCAUUUUAAAGAAUAGAUGACUUGAUGGAUCAGUUGGUGGGUGCACGCGUGUUUAGAAAAAUUUAUUUGAGGUCAGGUUACCACCAGAACAUAGUAAAGGAUGAAGAUGUGCAGAAGACGGCAUUUAGAACUCAAUGUGGACACUAUGAGUAUUUGGUGAUGUCGUUCGGUAUUUCUAAUGCACCCAAAGUAUUUAUGGAGCACAUGAAUCAUAUCUUUCAUACUUACUUGGAUAUUUUUGUUGUGGCAUUUAUUAAUGACAUUUUGAUCUAUUCUAAAUCAAAAGACAUGCUGAUCAUUUGCGAGUUGUAUUGCAAAUGUUGAAGGAGAAUAAGCUUUAUGCUAAGUUGAUGAAGUGUGAAUUCUGGUUGAAAGAGGUUAGCUUUCUUGGUCAUGUUAUUUCAGGCGGUGGUAUAGUUAUGGAUCCAUCCAAGGUAGAUACAGCUCUGCAAAGGGAGGCUCUGAAGUCGGUGACAAAAUUAGAAGCUUUUUGGGCUUAGAUGGUUAUUACUGCAGGUUUAUUUAAGGAUUUUCCAAUUUGGCACUUCCGUUAACUCAGUUGACCUGCAAAGGUAAACCGUUUAUGUGGAAUGUUAAUUGUGAGAAUAGUUUCAUAGAGCUAAAGAAAAGGUUGACUACAACUCCGAUUUUGCUUUUACAUGAACCAAAUGAAUCGUUUAUGGUGUCGUCGUUGAUGGAUUUAUAUGGUGUUCUAAUGAAAGAUGGCAAGGUUGUGGAUUAUGCUUCACGACAAUUGAGGAUUCAUGAGAUAAACUAUCCUACUCAUGGUUUGGAGUUGGUUGCGGUUGUGUUCAUGUUGAAAAUUUGGAGGCAUUAUCUUUACGGUUCCAAGUUUGAAGUGUUUAGUGAUCAUAAGAGUUUUAAAUACUUGUUUAAACAGAAGGAGUUGAAUAUGAGACAAUGCAUAUGGUUGCAAUUAUUAAAUAUAAUGACUUUGGCUUGAAUUAUCAUUCCGAUAAGGCAAAUGUCGCGGUUGAUGCUUUAAGUCGAAAGUCUUUGCAUAUGUCUGCUAUGAUGGUUAAAGAGUUGGAAAUGAUUGAAUAGUUCAGAGACAUGAGUUUGGUCUGUGAGAUGACACUGCAAAGUGUGAUGUUAGGUAUGCUGAAGAUCAACAAUGAGUUUCUUAAUAACAUUAAAGAGAGUCAGAAGUUGGAUGUGAAUUUGGUGGACUUGGUGGUUGGAAGUAAUCAGACUGAAAGUAAUGAUUUCAAAGUGGAUGAACAAGGUGUGUUGAAGUUCAGAGACAAAAAUUGUAUUCCUGACGAAGCUGAGUUAAAGAAGAUGAUUUUAGAAGAAAGUCAUCGAACUAGCUUGAAUAUUCAUCCAGGAGCUACUAAGAUGUAUCAGGACCUGAAGAAGAUCUUUUGGUGGUCUGGAAUGAAGCGAGAUGUGGCUCAGCUUGUUUAUGCUUGUUUGACUUGUCAACAAUCAAAAGUUGAACAUUAGAAACUUGCAGGAUUGAUGCAACUAUUGGAUAUUCCAGAAUGUAAAUGGGAUAUCAUUUCUAUGGAUUUUGUGACGGGGUUGCCGAAUACUCCGAGAGGGCAUGAUGCCAUUUGGGUAAUUGUUGAUAGACUGAUGAAGUCGGCCCAUUUUAUUUUGAUUAACAUUAGUUUUUCUAUGCAGAAGUUGGCAGAGAUAUAUAUCUGUGUGAUUGUGAAAUUGCAUGGAGUUCUGUUGAGUAUUGUAUCAGAUAGAGGUCUGAGGUUCACUUCUAGAUUUUGGGAGAGUUUGCAAGAUGCUUUGGGUUCAAAGCUGAGGUUGAGUUCAACUUAUCAUCCGUAGACCGAUGGUCAGACAGAGAGGACCAUUCAUUCAUUAGAUGAAUUAUUAAGAGCUUGUGUUCUCGAGCAAGGAGGUGCUUGGGAUGAUCAUUUGUCAUUGAUUGAGUUCACGUAUAAUAACAGUUUUCAUUCUAGUAUUGGAAUGGCAUCUUUUGAAGCCUUGUAUGGUCGAAGGUGCAUAACACCUUUAUGUUGGCAUGAAUUUGGUGAAAGUGUAGUGCUUGGACCUGAGAUUGUCCAACAGACUACUGAGAAGGUGAAGCUGGUUCGGGAGAUGAUGAAAGCUUCACAGAGUAGGCAGAAAAGCUACCAUGAUAAGAGGAAAAAGGAUCUUGAGUUUCAAGAGGGAGACCAUGUAUUCUUGAGAGUCAUUAUGGUGACCGGUGUAGGACGUGCUUUGAAGUCGAGGAAGCUUACUCCUUAAUUUAUUGGUCCAUAUCAGGUAUCUGGGCGAGUUAGACCUAUUGCUUAAAGAUUGGCCUUGCCACCGAAUUUGUCAAAUCUACAUGAUGUGUUCCAUGUUUCACAACUUCUGAAGUAUGUUCCAGAUCCGUCUCAUGUGAUUCUGAUGGAUGAUGUUCAGGUGAGGGAUAACCUUACAGUUGAGGCUCGCCCUAUAAGGAUUGAUGAUCGAGAACUGAAACAGUUGAGAGGCAAAAAGAUAGCUCUCGUGAAGGUAGUGUGGGGAGGCACUGCCGAAGGAAAUAUGUCUUAGGAGUUAGAAAGCAAGAUGCAAGAUUCGUAUCUAGAGUUUUCGCAUCAGGUAAUUUUUUAGGGCGAAAAUGUUCUAAGUUGGGGAGAGUUGUAACGCCCCAAUUUUAUUUAAAUUAUUUUUCAUAAUUUAAUUAUGUGAUAGUUGUGGUUGUGUUAUGUUGAUUGGUGUUUUGAUGUGUUGUGUACCCUUGAUUCGGGGUAGUUGUCUUAGAAAUUAAGGUGUUGGGGAGUGUGUAAGCAAAAUUGUAGAAAGGGUGGUAUGGUGAGUAAACUAAUUAACUAAUUUAGUUAUUAUUUAAUUUGAGUGGAUUAUUAUUAUUAUUACUAUUAUUAUUAUUAAAAAUAGUGAUAAGAUAAUAAGUUAAUAAAAUAAUUAGAGUGAUAAUAGAAAAAUAGAAAAGGCAUUUGGGAUAGAAACACAUAAACACAUAGAAGGUAGCAUUUGGGAAAAGGAGAGAAGAAGAUGAGAAAGGAAAAAAAUAGAAUAGGGCUCAAGGGGAGAAUCAUCAUUAUUGAAGGCCAAAUAAUUUAUUGCUUGGAACUCUAAGGUAAGGGUGGUUUUGAUUAUCUAAGGGUUAACAUGAUGAUGGUGGAUAGAUUAUGCGAUGUAGGUUUUGUGUUUUCUUCUCUAUGUUCAUGAUCAUGGUGAUAUUGUUAAUUGUUGAAUUAUGUGAAUGAUGAAUUGUUGUUGUUAGAAUCAUGAAAUUUGAUUGGAUUGUUUGUUGUCAAUGUUUUGCGAAUUGAUGUUGUUUCGAGUCAGAGUUGGAAUUGAGUUAUGAAUGUUUUCGGGGUAAAUAAGUUGGGGUUUUGAACUUUGAAAAAAUGAUUUUCGUGUUAAAAUAUGGUAUAAACGAUUUGUGAGAAAAUGGGGUUUUGGGAUUAAUUUUAGAUGAUUUUCAUUUUGGAAAUUUUGUAGCAAAGUGCUUAUGCAACAAUGUAAUUGGUUACCAGAAUUGAAGUAACCGGUUACACUGCUUACAAAAUACGCUUCUGGGUAAAAUUUGAAGGGUGUAAUUGGUUACAGGUUUUUCGGUAACCUGUUACCCUGUGUAACAGAGGCCACAUAGGGGCUAGAAUUGAGGGUGUAAUCGGUUACCAGUUUUUGAGUAACUGAUUACCAAGUAUGUGUUGGCAGUGUGGUUGUGCUACUAGAUGUAGUGUAACUGGUUAUUGGUUUUGGUGUAACCGGUUAUACUGGGAGCAUUUUUUUUAAAAACUUUAAAAGUUCAUAAUUUUUGUUCCGAGUGUCCGAUUCGAGUGUCGUUCAAAGCGUCGGAAAGCUGAGAGCGUGUACUGUCAUUUAAAAUUGGUUUCAAUACCUGAGAAUGAAUAUUUUCAUAUGUGAUGGUGUUGAUAUGCAUGGAAAUGUUAUGUGGUGGUGUGACAUAACCUAAAAUGCACUGUUGUUGCUUAUUAUGUUGUAUGUUGAUGUUGUUGAGCUGUAUGACACGUGUUUGAUGCAUGGUGGUCAGUAUUGGCGGUCUACAUUAACUAUGGAGGUGGAUCAUUGUGCAUGAUGAUGGUGUUGCAUGUAUUAUAUAUUGCAUGCAUUCAUGUUGUUGGACAAAUGGUCAGUUGUUGGUGAGCCUCAAAUCCCAUUAUGUGGAUUGGACCGGUAGCUGAUUUCGGAUGUGAUGGAAUCAGUGAGACAUUAUCAAAGAUGAUGGUAAUGAAUUGGUUGCUUUGAUCCUAGGAGGUGAUGAUCUAAUCGGUGAACCUGGGAGUUCAUGUAUUGGUACCACAUGCAUUGAGUCGAGUUAUUGAGUCACAUUGCAUUGUACAUUGGUUGCAUUUUUUAUUAUGUUGGAUGGUUGAUUAUGUUGUUAUUAUGUUGGAUUGUUGUUAUGUUGUUAUUAUGUGUUAAUAGCAGUUGUGAGGAGUAUGUGGAAUUGUGUUGUGGAAUGAUUGAUGUGCAUGUGAUAAUCUGAUGCUCACUUAUUAUCAUGAAUUCCUUUAUAUAGUUAUGAUACCUCACCCAUUCUAUUUGAAUGUUUCCUCCACGUGGGUAACAUGCAGAUAAUCCGCAAUAUGAGCUCGAAUGUGAGUGGAAGAUGAAGUCUUCCAUUUUAUUUUUGUGUCGGCUUCUGCUCUGAUGUGUAACAUUGAGGAAUUGGAACGUUGUGUCUUUCUUUAUGUUUUAACAUUUCUUAUAUGACAUGUUAUGUUGAUGUUGGAUAUGUUGAGUUAAUUGUUUGUUAUUGUUAUUCCGCUGCGAUUUCAUAAAAGUUAACCUUCAGACAUGUGGUUAUUACUACUAUGUUUAUAACUGUAAAGUGUUACAUGUCUUUUCAAUUGAGCAGGUUGAUUGUAUGUUGUAGUGUAGCAUCCUAAAUUGAAUGUUGAUUUGUUUUAUUCUGAUAAAUGUUUUAAAUUUACGCGGGAAAAGUUUAAGGUGUUAUACGAUAGCCAUUAUCUAAUAAGCAAAUCUUAAGUACAGAAUAAAACAGAGCUCGUGAUACCACUUGUUAGACGAUAGACCAAGAUCUAUAGGGGGUGAAUAAGUUACAAGUUAAAAUUUGAACUAAGAUUGGUUUUGAAAAAUUUUAUAGCGCGGAAGCAAGUUUCAAAAAUUUCCUUGAUCAAAAAUCGUCUAAUCGAACCUACUAUCAAAAAGCUUGAAUAUGCAUAUAGAGGUGUCAAUGAAAUAAUAAGCCAUACGUAAUCAACAACAAAUAAUUACAAUUAGUUGAAUACAAUACAAUAGGAAAAGUAUAUCUUUAAUGAUCAAAACACAUAAAAAAUUAAGUCAAGCAAUUUGUCGGACACUUAGUGUGCAAUCAAUAAUGUUUGGAACGUUAUGUAGGGUUUGUUGUUCUUAGAAAUACAAUCACAAUUAAAUGGUUUAUGAUCUACACGACAACACAAAUUUCAAAACGCAUUCAAAAUUACGAUCCAAAUAAUAUUGAUCAAAUGAUUGAAGCAAUCGACAAUUUGUAAACCAUACAAUAAAGAGAGAGAGAGAGAGAGAGAGAGAGAGAGAGAGAGAGAGUACACGAGGAUUUGUUUAGGCAGUUCCACAAUCGACCUCGCUAUGGGUACAUCUACCCUUAAUUUAAAUUUGAAUUGAGAUAUUUUAAUAAAUCUUACUUUGUAAAAUGUGUGUAUACAAGAGAUGAAGAAAUCGAACUUCUACAAGCCCUAAGUUUGAUGUUGACUCUACCACAUCCAAAACCCUUGAUCAAAGAUUGAUAAAAUAACCAAUAAUGUUGCUUCAAUUCACAUGUUCUUGCUACUUCCUUGCAAGGCACUCAUUGUCCUAAGGCUUUCACCUGGUUGAAUUAAUAUCAAGCGCACACUUGUUCCCAAGAUUUUCCAACACGAUCCACCGUCUUACGCUACUCCCUUACAAUGGACCCCUUGUCCCAAGACUUUCACUCGAUCAGAUCCAAAUUGCAUGAUCUUGUUUAAAACCUUCAAACCCUAAACGAUCUUGAAGGAAAACCCCAACUCGGUUUUCUGAUUUGAAUCUCUCAAAGUUCUCAAUCCAAUAUUCUCGGUACAACAAACCUAAUUGGAUGUUAUCAACCCUAAUCUAGAUGGCACCCAAUCAAAAAAUGAUUAUGUGUGGUUUGUUUGUAUGUAUUCAUAGAUGAAGUUGAAGAUGAUGAGAAUGCUUUGAAAUCCUGGAUUCAUGUAGGUUUUACUCACUCUAGAAACCUUACUAUAAAAUAAUGCAUGUAUGAAGUAUUUAUAUGCAUGGGUGAUUUAGGGAAAAAAGGAAUGCAAAUGACUUGAGAAAAAUAUGAAUUUUUGAAAAAAAUACAUCAGAUAGGUUGACCUAUAAAAGUCAUAUGCGACUUGUUCGAUGCAUAGGUCGACCUGUCUAAAGUCAUGCGUCGACCUAUGACUGUUAUGCGCUCCCUAUGUGUCGACCUGAAGAGUCGGCACAUGAUACAUAAGCUACAUGCUUUAAUACUACCGCAUACGCGCCAACAUAUAGAAUGCAUAUGCUGACCUAUAGCCAAGAAUUUUUUUCCAUAUGUCGACCUAUAAUGCUAUUUUUCACAAAAAUUGAUUUUUCAUGUAUGAUACCUUUUCCAAGUUGUUUACAAAUACUUUUAUGCUUCCUAAUGCUAACAUGCACCUAGAGAAUCAAAGGAUACUGUCCAAUAUAACGCUAAAGUAUCCUAGUUUUGACAUCAUACAAAACACAUCUAACGGAAGUUGCAUCCACAAAAUGUUCAUGAUUAGUUGCAAUGAUUUGGAAAAUGUUUCAUGAAUAAGUGAAAUGAAGAGACAUUGUGACGUUUCAUAUUUUUCACAAAGCUUCAGGAUGCAAUCAAUUGCAUAUAUGGAGCAAUCGAUUGUUCCAUUGCAACAUUCAAAAAAUAUGAAAAAUUUACACUAAGAAAUUGAUUAUGGGGGAUGCUCAAUCGAUUAAGGGGUCAAAAACUAAGGCAAAAAUGUGAGCAUACAAUCAAUUUCUUUAAGAGGACAAUCGAUUGGCUCAUGAUUGAAUAACCAACUUUGAAAGUCAGUAGCUACAUGCAAUCAAUUGCACUUCCCGUUCAAUCGAUUGUACCAUUAAUAAAAUUGACUUUUUGACAUUUUAAAGAUAUGCCUUGAAUAAAAAUUAUGCAUAUAUGAUAUGGAAAUUUAAGAAGGGUUUAUAUGAAUGGUUGUGAGCCCCUAAAGCCUAUACAUAAAUCAAUUGCUUAUUGUACCUUAAAAUAUGAUCAAAUAACUAGAAAUCCAUCACUUUGAACAUGAUUAAUCCUUAACUUGAGGCUUAUUCAAUCUUGAUAUAUCUUUUCCUUCUUUGAAUAAAUUUGUCUUUAUGAUAACAUCAUUUAAUCGAAAGCUUGUCUUCACAUGGAAUACAAAAAGGUUUGCCAAAUAUGUCAAAUCACCCACACAUGACAUUCAAGAGUUUCGGUUUCCAAAAUCGUAAUGAUGAUAUAUAUGAAAAGACGCAUGAAGUAUGUUACAUUAAAUGCAUUAUUCCUUAAGAACUAGAACAUUUAUUUUUCAUCCAUUUUAAAAGUGAUUAAAGGGUGAUCGACAUCCAAGACUGAAAUAUCAAACCUUCGCCUCAUUUUAACAUCAGUAAGGGCUUAGGGACAACUAUUUUGGAUCGACAAGAUAAUCAUGAAUCUUUCUAGGCCGAUCAGAUCUACCUCAGUCAAAUACCAGGAAGAAGUCUCACUUCUUCCAGAAUCUUCCCAGUACACGAAAAUUGUCAUCCUUAUGAUCCCAAUAGAUCCCAAAUAUACGAUACAUCCAACAGCUCCUCGCAAAUGGCGACAAGCAAAUAGCUAGUUAUAUAUAUAUAUAUAUAUAUAUAUAUAGAGAGGAGAGAGAGAGAGAGAGAGAGAGAGAGAGAGAGAGAGAGAGAGAGAGAGGGGAGAAGAGAAUCAUGAUCUGUUGACACCAAAUGUAAGUCAAAAGUCUUACACUAAAUCUCAACGUUAAUAUGAAUAAAUCAAACAGUCAUAUAAAUGAUCAUGUAUUUUUUUCAUUUAAUAUGACUAUUUCAUUCAAUCCUAUUAAAAUUGAGAUUUGAUGUAACUCUUUAGACUUGGUGUCAACGGAUUCUGACUCAUAUAUUAUAUAUAUAUAUAUAUAUAUAAUAUAUAUAUAUAUAUAUAAUAUUUAUUAGCACAAAUUGAGAUAACAAGUUUUAAAUUCAAUUUUAUUUCACUAUUCUUCCUCGUAUCCUGACUUGAGCGUUGGAGUGCUAACAUUGCAGGUCCUUCAUUCCACCGCGUCAGAAGCCACGAUUCGUCAUCAUCACCAUUCAUCCUCUCAUUUAUGAUUCCCGGACAUAUAUUAUUUCAAUGUUAUAACUUUUUAUUAGUAUGUUAUAUAUUAUUUGUAAUCAUAAAAAUCAUGUGAUAUAAAGGUACCGCUCAAACUAAAGGGAAAAUUUUAUUGGAUUGCAGUAGACUACGAUGUUGGACGGGACAUAAUGUUGGACGCUUUAGAAUCAACACGAGAAUAAAGUAAGUGUAGCAGAAUGAUGAGUUGUGUUGGAUGUGUGGUAAGACUAGAAAGGACAUGCUUAUAAAUGAAUAUAUUAGAGAGGUUGUUACUUGUUAGGUAACAUCUAUAGUAGAGAGAUGAUGGAAAAUAAAUUAGGUAGUUUGAGCAUGUGAGAGAAAGACAUCUAGAUUUUGUGGUAAGAAGAAUAGAUUAAAUGGAGAGAAGUCAUACAAUUAGAGGAAGAGGAAGAACUCGAAAAACUAUAAAGAAAUCAUUAAAAAAGAUCUCGAUAUUAUAUAUAUAAUAUAAUAUAUAUUAUAUAUAUAUAUAUAUAUAUAUAUAUAUGAUGAAAAUUGAUUCAUAUAACUGACCCCAUUUAGUUAAAUAAGGUUUAAUUAUUGUUGUUGUAUAACCAAUCUUACUCGAUUCAACUCCGAUCAAAUCUAUAAAUUUUAACCUCAUACCUACAUUUGGUUCAAUCUCCUAUCCGAUUUUAAUUAUCUUAAUUUUUAGAGUAUAGUUGUCAAUACACAUUUCAAAAUCCAUUGAGCUAGGGUUUUAAUAAAAAAUGGAAUCAACAUAUAACAUUUAUUAUUUAAAAUAUUAUGCUGACAAAUAGAAUAUUGUUAAUAAAUUCAUUAAAUUCUUUUUUUUAUAGAAAAUAGAACUCAAUACUUGUCAAAGUAAUUAAUAUAAAAUUCUUAUUCAGAAAUUGACUCUUUUAAUUUCUAAAAAAAACCUUAAAACACGUGUUUGUGAUUUCCCUAAAUGCGUUUGCUUUAUUGUCUUUUCUUCAUAAUAAUGCUUUUACUGCAGGCUAUAGCUUAAUUUGACUAUAAUGUAUUGUAAAAAAAACUUAUGAGGUGUUGUUUACUACUUUUUCUAAGUUUCGAUUACUCUUAAAAAAACAUUAUUUAUACAAGGCUUAAUUUAUUAAACGUGUCAUGAAACAAAAUAAAAGGUUGAAAUAUAUUAAAUUCACGUAAUUUCAUAUUAAUUAAACUGGAACAAAUCACACUGUCUUCAAUUAAAUAGAUUAGACUUUCAAUCGAUAAGAAAAAGGCAUAGACCAAAAUAAUAUCAAGUAAAUAAUUGUAUUAAAAGAAGUAAAAGAAUAAAUAAAAUUACCAAAAAAAACUGAAUGACAUGACUUUUUCUUUAAAAUGGCUCCCUCUAUAAUUAAUAGAUUAAAUAAAACAAUUCUUUUUGUGAAUUGCAUUAUAAAAUAUUAGACUACAUUAUCUGAUCUAGUUUCUAAUAUUAGAGAAAAAUUGAUCAAACAUCAACCACACCAUAAUCAUGAUUAGUGACACCGUUAAUCUAGGAUUAAUAACUUUGAACAAGUAAAACAACUAGUGGGGUCCAGUGGGACCCACUGAAGUGGUAAUAUCACAAUAUUAGCAGAAACAGCUGUUCUUAUUAUUCAAACAAAAACGAACUCUCUUCUCUUUGUCAUUUGGCAAGAUCUGAAUUUUUCCCCCAUCUUUACAGAGAGAGAGAAAGGUGUUGUUUGGUUGGUUCAAUUCUACUCUGAUCUUCAACUUUCACUCUUUUUCUUCAGAUCUUUCACUUCAGGUAUUAUUAUUAUUCCUUUUCGAUUGGAUUGAACCCUCAAUUUUCUAAUGUAUGUAUAAUUUGUUGCUAUUAUUUGAAUUUUCCCACUCUUUUGUGAAAUUUAACCGGUUGAAUUGCAUUUUUUGUGUGAAAAUGUGAAACGGAAGAUGAAUUUAUUAUUUUCUUAUUUGGAAAGCCCUUGUUUACUUCUUCUUUUAUUUUCCAAAUGUGCUUUUUUUUCUCCAGUUUAUGGGGUAUUUAUUAUAUAGAAUUAAUUAAUUAAUUAUUUAAUUGACAGUGAUUUGAUUGUAACUGGGGAAGGAUUAGGAGUUUCAACCAGUGUCAAUGGCUUAUUACUUGUUAGCAUAAAACUGUGUAAAUUUGUUUUACUGUAUUUCCUGAUUAUUGCUCAUUUCUGCAACAAAGAAUGAUUUAUUUUGGAUGUUUCUGCUUCAGUACAGAUUAUUUCCUUUUCGGUGUCGAUUUCGCUAGGAUAUUAAUUAUAUAUAAGCUAAUUUUAAUUUUUAAAAUUUUUAUAAAAGAUUUAGAUAGUUAGAUUUCAGAUCUUCAAUUUUUUCUUUCUUUUUAUGAAAUAAAGGAUCAAAUUAAGGAAUGCCAAGAAGAGAAUGGGGAAAAAGGGAAAUUGGUUUUCUACAGUGAAGAAAGCUCUCAGCCCUGAUUCAAAGGUAACAAAAGACCAAAAAUUAUGUAAAACUUAGCUCAAUUUUUUCUGUGAUUUUUCUUAUAAUUUUACAAUUUUUUGUUGUUGUAGAAAUCAAGUAAAUCAAAGAAGAAAUGGUUUGGGAAGCAAAAACUGCAGACUUCGGACCCUUCCGUAGAAGAUACGGCACCGCCGCUUCCUCCACCGGAAGAUGUUAAAUUACCUGAUAUUGAAAACCAAAACAAUCACUAUCAUGUUCCUGAAAUUACAACUGCCGUGGUUAGUCAGGAACCCGGUCCUUCUGUUCCGGCACCAGUUGUUAGGAAUGAAGUUUCCGUGGUUGCUCGUUAUGCUGGUAAACCAAAAGAUGAAGUGGCGGCAAUCAAGAUUCAAACAGCUUUUCGUGGAUACUUGGUAUGCGUUGUAAUCUUUUUGUCAUUUUGAAAUUCCUGCAAAAGAAAAUUAUUUAUUUGAAAUACAUUUCGAACUAAACUUUCUUUUAAAAUCAUUUAGGCACGAAGAGCGUUGCGGGCUUUAAGAGGGUUGGUCAGAUUGAAAACAUUGAUGGAAGGGCCGAUUGUAAAACGCCAAGCCAUGAGUACGCUCCGCUCAAUGCAGACGUUAGCUCGUGUGCAAUCUCAGAUUCGUUCCAGGAGGGUCAGAAUGUUAGAGGAGAAUCAGGCUUUGCAAAGACAGCUCUUACAAAAGCAUGUAAGAGAGCUCGAGACCCUGCGGGUAUGUGUUGCUUUUCCUUAAUUUUAUUUUUUUGAAAGGAUAAUAAUCUCGACAUUGUGCCAACGCGUAUUUGACUGUGUUUGUAACGGUUUUAACUUGUUCCAAAUCUUGAUGAUAGAUUGGAGAAGAAUGGGAUGAUAGCCUACAAUCAAAAGAACAAAUUGAAGCCAAAUUAAUGAGCAAGUACGAGGCUACUAUGAGAAGAGAAAGAGCAAUGGCUUAUGCAUUCACUCAUCAGGUUUUCUAAUUCUCUUGUUAACUUAGAUAUCUGAGGAAAUAGAUGAAAAAGUUUAGAUGAAACGGAAUAUCACAUAAUUUCAAGAAUUAAAAAAUGAGAAUCCAAGCUUUCAUAUAUGCUGUAUAAUAUACUGGACCUAAUCUAAAUCGAGUAAUUCUCAUUCGAGAGUAAUGUAAGACAUGUCAACCAUUAAUGAAAAAAAAAUCAACUAUUGAUAUUGCAUACCAAAUUAUAGAUAUGUUAAAAUGUCAACUGGCGAUUUUCACAUCAACGGUUAAGAUGUCUAUCAUUUAUACUGAAAGUUUGCUUAGUUUGAGAAUAUUUUAAAAUUUCUUCUUUUUUCUAAUAAUUACAAAAUUUACACUUUUUUGUUAUUUGGUUUCCUAUUCUUGAAGUUCUAUAUAGAAGAGAAUGAAAACAAGGGGGAAAGUACUCUUUCCUAUACUAAUAUUUAGAAGCAAUAAAUGAAAAUGAUGAGUUUUUGUAACUAUAUUUAGAAACAUGAAAUGAAAAUAGAAAAUAUUCUCACUAACCGAACACGUGUAACUAUAUUAUUGAACGAAUAGAAAUAUCUGCCUAUGAUUUGAUUUACAACUGCAAGUGUAAUACUAUGACAGCAAAACGGGAAGAGCUCGUCUAGACCUAUGAAUCCAAUGUUCGUGGAUCCAACCAAUCCUACGUGGGGCUGGAGCUGGCUUGAACGAUGGAUGGCUGCGCGGCCUUGGGAGAGCCGUGGCCUAAUGGAUAAAGAACUGAAUGACCAUUCAUCUGUUAAAAGUUCGAGUCGCAGUAUUACAGGUGGAGAAAUCAGCAAAUCAUUUGCCCGUUUCCAGCUGAAUUCCGAAAUACAUUCUCCCGCAGCCAGCCAAAUUCCAGGCUCGCCGAGCUUUCAGUCAAAUUCAACAACACCUAAGCCAGCUUCUGCAGCAGUUGCGAGGAAACUGAAGAAGGCAAGUCCAAAGGGAAGCUGGGUUAUGGAAGAAGACUCCAAAAGCAUGGCCAGCGUACAGUCAGAUCGGUUCCGUAGACACUCUAUCGCCGGAUCAUCAGUUAGGGAUGACGAGAGUCUUGCUAGCUCUCCAUCAGUUCCGAGCUAUAUGGUGCCGACUCAAUCUGCGAAAGCUAGGUCUAGGACACAAAGUCAGAGUCCAUUAGCUAAAGAAAACGGCAAACAAGAGAAGGGGUCCUUUGGGACCGCAAAGAAGCGUCUUUCUUUCCCGGCUUCUCCCGCCAGGCCAAGGCGUCAUUCAGGUCCACCAAAGGUAGAAAUCGCCGUAAAUGCAGAGGUCAGUGUGGACAAUGGUGUGGCCAGUUGAUUAAAUAAUAAUCAGAGUGAAAGGAUUGAAAUCAUUAAAGUAGGAUUGAAGAUAUAUCAGUGAAGAAAAUAAAAACAAAAGUUCAUUUACAUUGAGUGUUCUUUAAAUUUAUUUAUUUGUCCUAUUUUUAUGUGUAUCCUAACAUUUUAUGUAGGCUUUUGAUUUGGGGUGAAAAUUGUUUUACUUACCAUAUAUUCAUCUAUUUGUAUUUUUAUUUACAUUCUCUAUCAUUUACACUGAGGGGAAGAAAUUUGGUUUAUGAUGAUCUUGUGACAGAAAAUGAGUCCACUUUCUUUGUUUUAUGUUCACCAUAAACUGAAAUUUAAAGCUCCUGAUUCUUAAUGUAAUAUAAGUACAAUUUUGUUUUUUUUUUACUAAUAAUUGAUUCUGGUCCUGUUGUUUAUCUUA
This 20262-nucleotide long non-coding RNA is filed under the name Lathyrus oleraceus (garden pea). RNAcentral's name for it is "Pisum sativum (pea) long non-coding RNA (PSAT_LNC009109)". The record is from RNAcentral. Lineage: Eukaryota; Viridiplantae; Streptophyta; Magnoliopsida; Fabales; Fabaceae.